RNAcentral lists this ribosomal RNA (380 nucleotides) under uncultured eukaryote. Its description in RNAcentral is "partial 18S ribosomal RNA". It matches the Rfam family "Eukaryotic small subunit ribosomal RNA", at positions 592 to 976 of the family's 1831-position model. The record is from RNAcentral.
CAAUAGCGUAUAUUAAAGUUGUUGCAGUUAAAAAGCUCGUAGUUGGAUUUGUGGCGUACGGUGUGUUCCGGGCACUUGUUGCCUGAGUAACCUGCUGUUGCCAUCCUUGGGUGGAACCUGUGUGGCAUUAGGUUGUCGUGCAGGGGAUGCCCAUCAUUUACUGUGAAAAAAUUAGAGUGUUCAAAGCAGGCUUAUGCCGUUGAAUAUAUUAGCAUGGAAUAAUGAGAUAGGACUUUUUUGCUAUUUUGUUGGUUUGCGCAAAGAGGUAAUGAUUAAUAGGGACAGUUGGGGGUAUUCGUAUUCCAUUGUCAGAGGUGAAAUUCUUGGAUUUUUGGAAGACGAACUACUGCGAAAGCAUUUACCAAGGAUGUUUUCAUUGA